Molecule: RNA transcript, 1501 nt
Organism: Populus trichocarpa (black cottonwood)
Lineage: Eukaryota; Viridiplantae; Streptophyta; Magnoliopsida; Malpighiales; Salicaceae
Gene name: splicing factor U2af small subunit B
Exons: 7
Source: RefSeq, a predicted model, not a curated record
AACACGCAAUUUUUGGUAUUUAGCACAAGCACGGGGAAAGGGGAAAAAUAAAACCCUAGACUUGAAUCGUAAAGAAAUAGAGAGAGAAUGGCGGAGCACUUAGCAUCCAUAUUCGGGACAGAGAAAGACAGGGUGAACUGUCCUUUUUACUUCAAGAUCGGAGCCUGCAGACAUGGUGAUCGAUGCUCAAGACUCCACACAAAGCCGACAAUCAGCCCAACCCUGUUGCUCUCCAACAUGUACCAGAGACCUGACAUGCUCACUCCUGGAGUGGAUCCUCAGGCUCAAUCCCAGUCCCUCGAUCCCCGGAAGAUCCAAGACCACUUUGAGGAUUUUUAUGAGGAUUUGUUUGAAGAACUCAGCAAGUAUGGUGAUAUUGAGAGCUUAAAUAUCUGUGAUAAUCUUGCUGACCACAUGGUGGGUAAUGUGUAUGUCCAGUUUAGAGAAGAAGAGCACGCUGCUAAUGCCCUUCGCAAUCUUAACGGAAGGUUUUAUGCAGGGCGACCCAUCAUUGUUGACUUUUCUCCUGUCACGGAUUUCCGCGAAGCUACAUGUAGGCAAUAUGAGGAAAAUGUUUGCAAUCGAGGUGGCUACUGCAACUUCAUGCAUCUUAAGAAGAUUAGCAGGGAAUUGAGGAGGCAGUUAUUUGGGAGGAACAGACGAAGACGUAGCCGCAGUAGAAGCCAUAGUCCUGAUAGGCACCGUGGUCAUGAGGAGCGUCCACAUGGUGGCCGUGGUUUGAAUAGGAGAGAGGAUGACAGGGAGCAUCACAAUGAAAGGGGCAGGAGGCCUAGAAGCCGAAGUCCUGCACGCAGGGGAGGACGAAGUAGCCCUGGGGGGAGGAGAAACAGGAGUCCUGUCAGAGAGAGUAGUGCUGAAAGAAGGGCUAAGAUUGAAAAGUGGAACAGGGAAAAGGAACAGACAGAUUCUGGUGGUAGAGGUGAUAGCAGAAACCCUGAAAAUGACAGGGAUAACAGUGACUUUGCUGAGAAUGGUGGCCAUUAUGAUGAUGCCCAGCACUAGUAGGAGCUUGGUGGAUACUAGGGACCUACCUGGAAACGUCUGGUGGAGUACAGGUUCAGUGUCUUGUGUUAUGAAAAUUUUAAGCUGAUGUACCCGCCUUGUGAGUGUUGUAUCAUAGUGGAACUGUUUCUGGAGUAAAUUCAAAACCUCAAAGGUUGAUAGGUUGGGCUGUUGUUUACCUGCAGAGCGUUUUAGUGGAGUUCCAUUUUAAUGUUGUUGAAGCAUCAAGAAAGCCCUUGGAUCUUUGUACGAUGAGGAAAACUCUGACACUUCCAUACAAGGUGAAAUGGCUCUAAAUCAUUUGUCAUAUGUAGAUUCUUCAAAUGGAAUACAGAUUGAGUUCUUUGGGAUAUUGGUAAUCGUGUUUUUGUUUUUAUCAUGCACUACUGUCAAGUUCGUGGAUUGUUGUUUUGCCACAUCGAGUGGAGAUUGUGUUGUGAGCUUAUGAUCAAAAUAUUUAUUUUAUGCUUGUUGUUCA